Molecule: transfer RNA, 73 nt
Rfam family: tRNA
About the family: Transfer RNA (tRNA) molecules are approximately 80 nucleotides in length. Their secondary structure includes four short double-helical elements and three loops (D, anti-codon, and T loops).
GGGUCGUUAGCUCAGUUGGUAGAGCAGUGGACUUUUAAUCCAUGGGUCCUGGGUUCGAGCCCCAGACAACCCA